This 252-nucleotide ribosomal RNA is filed under the name uncultured bacterium. Its description in RNAcentral is "partial 16S ribosomal RNA". It matches the Rfam family "Bacterial small subunit ribosomal RNA", at positions 524 to 776 of the family's 1533-position model. The record is from RNAcentral.
UACGUAGGGUGCGAGCGUUGUCCGGAAUUAUUGGGCGUAAAGGGCUCGUAGGCGGUUUGUCGCGUCGGGAGUGAAAACACACAGCUUAACUGUGUGCUUGCUCCGAUACGGGCAGACUAGAGGUAUGCAGGGGAGAACGGAAUUCCUGGUGUAGCGGUGAAAUGCGCAGAUAUCAGGAGGAACACCGGUGGCGAAGGCGGUUCUCUGGGCAUUACCUGACGCUGAGGAGCGAAAGUGUGGGGAGCGAACAGG